CACAUACAGAUCUGGAGGGCUGGAGAGCAGCUGCAGUGCUGUGCUAGAGUGCAAGUAUGCUCUGAUUCUAGGUAGGGAACAGGAUAAAGAGGCAAAACCUUCUUCACUGAAGCCCGUGUCCCUCUCCUUCCCUUACCUAUAUUUUUAUGUUGUAUUUUCCAACCUGAGCUGGUUAAUGUGCUCAUCUUUUCUCCUGUGCUUUCCUUCUGGCAGAAGCUGAGGGAGCCUCCAACGUUUCAACAAGCACCAUGCCCACAACCGAGUACGAACCACCAUGUCUUAACGUGGACUUCUGCACACGAGCGGCCAUGUGCUGCCCAUCAGGCAUGGAUGAUUAUGGAUGGAUUGCAGCGGCCGUCGGCUGGAGCCUCUGGUUUCUCACUCUCAUCCUGCUCUGUGUGGAAAAGGUCAUGAAACUCCGGCCGGACGAACCCAAAUAUUUGGUAGCCUGAAGCAGGGCAAGCCAGUGAGCAGCAGUCAGGUGCAGACAGACUGACAAAGCAUUCCAACCAUUUCCUAAGGAACAGAAAAGAAAGGGACUGUACCUUCAGCUAUAAAAGGCCAGAUCUAAGCAGGCACCUGCUGAGGCUUCAUCCUCCCAAGCAAGUCUAAACCACCAGCUCAGGUGUGCAGUGGGCUCCAUCCAGUCCCUGCAAGCCACCAGGGACAUGCUACUACAUACGGAAAACCUUUUCCCCAAGCCCUUUCCAGCCUGCAAUAAGACACAGAAGGACACGUUACCAGGCUAUAGCUCCAUGCCUUCAGACAACCCAGUACAGAGCCUCUGAAUUUGAAAUAGAAGUGAGCUAACAAAGCUAGUCCUUGGAGGAGCAACGUUACCAGCUCCAGUCCUAAACUACGGGCCAGCCUACAUCAGUAAACAGAUGCAACUCAUUGAUUAUACUGAGUAACUUUCAUUUGCUAAACCACAGUGUUUACUGACAACAAGGAAAACUCUGUUAUGGAAAUUUAAGGCUUAUUUGGGCUGAUUUGAAAUUAGAACUCGUUAUUCCAGCGCAAUUUGUAUGUGAACUGUUUUGUGGGAGGUUAACAUUGGUUGCAUUUAUUCAGCUUGCACCUGCCUGUGUAAUUAAGCCACACUGCACCAUGGCAGGUGGGUUUAAGCCAGCAUAUCCAAGUCAAGCACAAAACUGCUCCUAUUUAUAUAACAUGAUAAUAAACACUCUUCUUGAUGGAAAGAUUCUCA
This 1207-nucleotide long non-coding RNA is filed under the name Anser brachyrhynchus (Pink-footed goose). RNAcentral describes it as "lncRNA (ENSABRG00000006149.1)". Lineage: Eukaryota; Metazoa; Chordata; Aves; Anseriformes; Anatidae. The record is from RNAcentral.